Molecule: long non-coding RNA, 358 nt
Organism: Poecilia latipinna (sailfin molly)
Lineage: Eukaryota; Metazoa; Chordata; Actinopteri; Cyprinodontiformes; Poeciliidae
Exons: 4
Source: RefSeq, a predicted model, not a curated record
GGGUUUUGUUACUGGACUGGACUGGACUGGGCUUUUUUUUCUUUUUUUUUUUUUUUAAAAAAAAGAGAGAAAUUGCGCAUCCUCGCCAUGGCGGUGCUAUCUGAAUCUCAGUACAAUGAACUAUUAGGGGAUCUCGUCUUGCAAGAUACGGAGAGGACGAGCGUACCGCAGUUACAGUACGAUUUACAGGGGGAUCGAGUCACUAGAGCUGCAAGGAGAGUGCAACGGAGACCGGAUAAUUCUACACAAAACGAAAAACGGAGCCGUCGUCUUACAAGCGUCAAUCCUAUCGAGGGGUCAAGACGUAGAGGAAUUAAACCGCAGAACAAGCUUUCCAUCGUUAAUGAAUUAAUUUCAG